AACGAACGCUGGCGGCAUGCCUAACACAUGCAAGUCGAACGAUGCCUUCGGGCAUAGUGGCGCACGGGUGCGUAACGCGUGGGAAUCUGCCCUUGGCUUCGGAAUAACAGUUAGAAAUGACUGCUAAUACCGGAUGAUGUCCCCCUGAGAGAUCUUGGGGACCAAAGAUUUAUCGGCCAGGGAUGAGCCCGCGUAGGAUUAGGUAGUUGGUGGGGUAAAGGCCUACCAAGCCGACGAUCCUUAGCUGGUCUGAGAGGAUGAUCAGCCACACUGGGACUGAGACACGGCCCAGACUCCUACGGGAGGCAGCAGUGGGGAAUAUUGGACAAUGGGGGGAACCCUGAUCCAGCAAUGCCGCGUGAGUGAUGAAGGCCUGAGGGUUGUAAAGCUCUUUUACCAGGGAUGAUAAUGACAGUACCUGGAGAAUAAGCUCCGGCUAACUCCGUG
This 447-nucleotide ribosomal RNA is filed under the name uncultured bacterium. RNAcentral's name for it is "partial 16S ribosomal RNA". It matches the Rfam family "Bacterial small subunit ribosomal RNA", at positions 29 to 507 of the family's 1533-position model. The record is from RNAcentral.